GGAGCACGUAAGACCACUGAGAAGCGGAUUACAGUAGUCAAGGUGAGAAAGGACAGUGGAAUGGACCUUAGUCGCAUCUGGCGUUAAGUAGGGGCGGAUGACAGGAUUUGGCGAUAGAUUGAACAUGAGGCUUGAAGGAGAGGUCGGAGUCAAAGAGAUCACCUAGGCAGCGAGCCUGCAUGGUGGAGUGGAUGGUAGCACCGUUGACUUGGAGGGAGACAGACACACGAGUAACAACACUUGAGGGAGGAAAGACCAGAAUUUCAGUUUUGGUCAAGUUUAGUUUAAGGAAGUGGGC
This is a non-coding RNA of Pelobates cultripes (western spadefoot toad), 298 nucleotides long. NCBI's taxonomy places the organism in Eukaryota, Metazoa, Chordata, Amphibia, Anura, Pelobatidae. The record is from the annotation of a GenBank genome assembly.